This 468-nucleotide ribosomal RNA is filed under the name uncultured bacterium. Its description in RNAcentral is "partial 16S ribosomal RNA". It matches the Rfam family "Bacterial small subunit ribosomal RNA", at positions 28 to 507 of the family's 1533-position model. The record is from RNAcentral.
GACGAACGCUGGCGGCGUGCUUAACACAUGCAAGUCGAACGGAAAGGCCCUGCUUUUGUGGGGUGCUCGAGUGGCGAACGGGUGAGUAACACGUGAGUAACCUUCCCUUGACUUGGGGAUAACUUCAGGAAACUGGGGCUAAUACCGGAUAGGAGCUCCUGCUGCAUGGUGGGGGUUGGAAAGUUUCGGCGGUUGGGGAUGGACGCGCGGCUUAUCAGCUUGUUGGUGGGGUAGUGGCUUACCAAGGCUUUGACGGGUAGCCGGCCUGAGAGGGUGACCGGCCACCUUGGGACUGCGGUACGGCCCAGACUCCAACGGGAGGCAGCAGUGGGGAAUAUUGCACAAUGGGCGGAAGCCUGAUGCAGCAACGCCGCGUGCGGGAUGACGGCCUUCGGGUUGUAAACCGCUUUCGCCUGUGACGAAGCGUGAGUGACGGUAAUGGGUAAAGAAGCACCGGCUAACUACGUG